RNAcentral lists this long non-coding RNA (973 nucleotides) under Mustela putorius furo (domestic ferret). Its description in RNAcentral is "lncRNA (ENSMPUG00000025046.1)". The record is from RNAcentral. Lineage: Eukaryota; Metazoa; Chordata; Mammalia; Carnivora; Mustelidae.
AUGGUUCUUGAUCCAAGAGCCGGGAAUGGCUUCCUGCUGGGUCUAAAGACAGGCGGCUUAGCUGGGCUUCAGUUGGGCCACAGGGUGACAGGUCUUACGUUUCAAGUUGGGAUCAGCUGCCUGAGGGAAAUGGCUGGGGAAACUCUCUCUUGGCUCCUUUCCUCAUGGAGGAUGGCUAAAGGAAGAGAAAGCUUAGAGCUGCUGAGCUGGGGUUGGUGCCUUAAAAAUAAUGAUAUAAACACAGCCCAGAAGUCGGCCUGUGGACUCCCUGACGGGGACCAGACGAGAAACACUGUCCUGACUUACCCCUCGGCCCACGCUCUGCCCUCAUCUAUCACCUCAGAAACUAAACAGCUUCCUCAGAUGGCCCCGUGGAACAUAAAUCACAAGGGCCCUAGCUUCCAAGAAACCUGUCCGCAAGUGCAGCCCUCCUGUUUCUUCCUCCUCGGCGCUCAGAACAAGGGGAGCUGGCAGGUGUGACGUGCAAGUGAAAUGAGAGAAUGCAGGUGGACACGUCCGUGAACUUCAGCUGCGGUGUCCUCCUUCCAUUGGCGGAAGACUGUUCCCGGGCCCGGAGAAGGAGAACAAGCAAACACCCCUUCUAAUUCUCAUCCCAAACAAGAAGGGCUGUGGGCCGGAGCCGUGAUGAUUUCGUAAAGCCCCAAGCUUCUUUCCCUGCUCGCUCUCACGCCAGAUCUGUGCCAGACUGGUUUAUGCUUGGCGACCUCAGUGACCUCCAACAUGCUGAGAUUCUCACGGCAGAGCCCAGCGGAUACCUAGACCCGGCUGGAGCAGAGACAAAUUCAAACGCUCUGGGCGGGGGUAGGAGGACAGUGAAAUACAGUGUGAGAAAUCAUCACAAAGAAUGGUUGUUCCAGGGGCGCCUGGGUGGCUCAGUGGGUUAAGCCUCUGCCUUCAGCUCGGGUCAUGAUCUCGGGGUCCUGGGAUCGAGCCCCGCAUCGGGCUCUCUGCN